Drosophila willistoni is the source of this 251-nucleotide long non-coding RNA. RefSeq lists it as uncharacterized. The record is from RefSeq and is a predicted model, not a curated record. The transcript is spliced from 2 exons. Lineage: Eukaryota; Metazoa; Arthropoda; Insecta; Diptera; Drosophilidae.
CUGAGAAGCAAACUCAAUGGGAAGCUUAUACAAUAAAUUGCCAAUCGUUUACAAUAGAAUUACAGAAGGGUAUAAAUACUUCGGCUUUGCAAGGAGUAUGCAGUAUUAGAUAAUAUGCGGCACACGAACGAACAGUUUGUCUUGUGUUGUAUUGUGUUUCGCUUACCUGCCGACUUUAGAUUUCUCCGCCGGCCACUUCUCAAGCAACAUGAAAAGGCGGCACGUUCUUCGAAGGUUUUCGAGAUGACAAA